CCGCUUCCGGAUGGGCCCGCGUCCCAUCAGCUAGUUGGUGGGGUAAUGGCCCACCAAGGCGACGACGGGUAGCCGGCCUGAGAGGGUGGCCGGCCACAGGGGCACUGAGACACGGGCCCC
RNAcentral lists this ribosomal RNA (120 nucleotides) under uncultured bacterium. RNAcentral describes it as "partial 16S ribosomal RNA". It matches the Rfam family "Bacterial small subunit ribosomal RNA", at positions 215 to 334 of the family's 1533-position model. The record is from RNAcentral.